RNAcentral lists this long non-coding RNA (232 nucleotides) under Hordeum vulgare. Its description in RNAcentral is "long non-coding RNA (HVUL_LNC016622)". The record is from RNAcentral. Lineage: Eukaryota; Viridiplantae; Streptophyta; Magnoliopsida; Poales; Poaceae.
UCCACGUUGCCACAUAACGGCGGGAACGGCUUUCCGAAAGAUUUAACCCUGUAGGGGUGCUCCAACUAGUCCAUCACAAAUUACCACAAGUCGCAUAGAAAUCCUCAAUCACGAAGCUCGCGAUCUCGUCGGAUUCACUAGUGGAAAACCUCAACUCUGAGAUUACCCAAAGCAUCACCGGAAUCCCGAUGCACAAGAUAUCUCGUCAAAGGUAAAACUAAUCCAGCAAGGC